RNAcentral lists this transfer RNA (89 nucleotides) under Planctomycetota bacterium. RNAcentral describes it as "Planctomycetes bacterium (activated sludge metagenome) tRNA-Leu". It matches the Rfam family "tRNA". From Rfam's summary of the family: Transfer RNA (tRNA) molecules are approximately 80 nucleotides in length. Their secondary structure includes four short double-helical elements and three loops (D, anti-codon, and T loops). Lineage: Bacteria; Pseudomonadati; Planctomycetota. The record is from RNAcentral.
GACCCUGUGGCGGAAUUGGCAGACGCAUCGGACUUAAAAUCCGAGAUCCGGAAACGGGUGUGUGGGUUCGAUUCCCACCGGGGUCACCA